Molecule: ribosomal RNA, 616 nt
Filed under: Bifidobacterium sp. HGH0129
Lineage: Bacteria; Bacillati; Actinomycetota; Actinomycetes; Bifidobacteriales; Bifidobacteriaceae
Description: bacterial SSU rRNA
Rfam family: Bacterial small subunit ribosomal RNA
Source: RNAcentral
CGGGAUCCAUCAAGCUUGCUUGGUGGUGAGAGUGGCGAACGGGUGAGUAAUGCGUGACCGACCUGCCCCAUGCUCCGGAAUAGCUCCUGGAAACGGGUGGUAAUGCCGGAUGUUCCACAUGAUCGCAUGUGAUUGUGGGAAAGAUUCUAUCGGCGUGGGAUGGGGUCGCGUCCUAUCAGCUUGUUGGUGAGGUAACGGCUCACCAAGGCUUCGACGGGUAGCCGGCCUGAGAGGGCGACCGGCCACAUUGGGACUGAGAUACGGCCCAGACUCCUACGGGAGGCAGCAGUGGGGAAUAUUGCACAAUGGGCGCAAGCCUGAUGCAGCGACGCCGCGUGAGGGAUGGAGGCCUUCGGGUUGUAAACCUCUUUUGUUUGGGAGCAAGCCUUCGGGUGAGUGUACCUUUCGAAUAAGCGCCGGCUAACUACGUGCCAGCAGCCGCGGUAAUACGUAGGGCGCAAGCGUUAUCCGGAUUUAUUGGGCGUAAAGGGCUCGUAGGCGGCUCGUCGCGUCCGGUGUGAAAGUCCAUCGCUUAACGGUGGAUCUGCGCCGGGUACGGGCGGGCUGGAGUGCGGUAGGGGAGACUGGAAUUCCCCGGUGUAACGGUGGAAUGUGU